RNAcentral lists this ribosomal RNA (430 nucleotides) under uncultured bacterium. RNAcentral's name for it is "bacterial SSU rRNA". It matches the Rfam family "Bacterial small subunit ribosomal RNA", at positions 355 to 776 of the family's 1533-position model. The record is from RNAcentral.
UGGGGAAUUUUCCGCAAUGGGCGCAAGCCUGACGGAGCAACGCCGCGUGAAUGAAGAAGGCCUUCGGGUUGUAAAGUUCUGUCAUUAGGGAAGAAUGUUCUGUAUGUAAAUAAUGUACAGGAGUGACGGUACCUAAGGAGGAAGCCACGGCUAACUACGUGCCAGCAGCCGCGGUAAUACGUAGGUGGCGAGCGUUGUCCGGAAUUACUGGGCGUAAAGGGCGCGUAGGCGGAUAUUUAAGUCAGAUGUGAAAGCCCCGGGCUUAACUUGGGGAUUGCAUUUGAUACUGGGUAUCUUGAGGACAGGAGAGGAAAGCGGAAUUCCUAGUGUAGCGGUGAAAUGCGUAGAUAUUAGGAGGAACACCAGUGGCGAAGGCGGCUUUCUGGACUGUAACUGACGCUGAGGCGCGAAAGCGUGGGGAGCGAACGGG